RNAcentral lists this ribosomal RNA (913 nucleotides) under uncultured bacterium. RNAcentral's name for it is "bacterial SSU rRNA". It matches the Rfam family "Bacterial small subunit ribosomal RNA", at positions 1 to 917 of the family's 1533-position model. The record is from RNAcentral.
CGAUUAGAGUUUGAUCAUGGCUCAGGACGAACGCUGGCGGCGUGCUUAACACAUGCAAGUCGAACGAGGUCCAUCGGUAGCUUGCUACUGAGAAGACCUAGUGGCGAACGGGUGAGUAACGCGUGGGCAACCUGCCCUGGAGAUUGGGAUAACUGAUGGAAACAUCAGCUAAUACCGAAUAUCGUUUUAGUACCGCAUGGUAUCUAAACGAAAUGUUCUGGCGCUCCAGGAUGGGCCCGCGUCCCAUUAGCUUGUUGGUAGGGUAACGGCCUACCAAGGCGACGAUGGGUAGCCGGCCUGAGAGGGUGAACGGCCACACUGGGACUGAGACACGGCCCAGACUCCUACGGGAGGCAGCAGUGGGGAAUAUUGCGCAAUGGGCGAAAGCCUGACGCAGCAACGCCGCGUGGAGGAUGAAGGUUUUCGGAUUGUAAACUCCUUUCAGCAGGGACGAAGCCGCAAGGUGACGGUACCUGCAGAAGAAGCCCCGGCUAACUACGUGCCAGCAGCCGCGGUAAUACGUAGGGGGCAAGCGUUGUCCGGAAUUAUUGGGCGUAAAGAGCACGCAGGCGGCCCGUUAAGUCAGAUGUGAAAUCCCUCGGCUCAACCGAGGACCUGCAUUUGAAACUGACAGGCUAGAGUACAGGAGAGGGAAGUGGAAUUCCUAGUGUAGCGGUGAAAUGCGCAGAUAUUAGGAAGAACACCGGUGGCGAAGGCGGCUUCCUGGACUGUUACUGACGCUGAGGUGCGAAAGCUAGGGGAGCGAACAGGAUUAGAUACCCUGGUAGUCCUAGCCGUAAACGAUGGUCACUAGGUGUAGGGGGUAUCAACUCCCCCUGUGCCGGAGCUAACGCAUUAAGUGACCCGCCUGGGGAGUACGGCCGCAAGGCUAAAACUCAAAGGAAUUGACGGG